UUGAACGCUGGCGGCAGGCCUAACACAUGCAAGUCGAGCGGAUGAAGGGAGCUUGCUCCUGGAUUCAGCGGCGGACGGGUGAGUAAUGCCUAGGAAUCUGCCUGGUAGGGGGGGAUAACGUCCGGAAACGGGCGCUAAUACCGCAUACGUCCUGAGGGAGAAAGUGGGGGAUCUUCGGACCUCACGCUAUCAGAUGAGCCUAGGUCGGAUUGGCUAGUUGGUGGGGUAAAGGCCUACCAAGGCGACGAUCCGUAACUGGUCUGAGAGGAUGAUCAGUCACAGUGGAACUGAGACGCGGGCCAGACUCCGACGGGAGGCAGCAGUGGGGAAUAUGGGACAAGGGGCGAAAGCCUGAUCCAGCCAUGCCGCGUGUGUGAAGAAGGUCUUCGGAUUGUAAAGCACUUUAAGUUGGGAGGAAGGGCAGUAAGUUAAUACCCUGCUGUUUUGACGUUACCAACAGAAUAAGCACCGGCUGACUUCGUG
This 483-nucleotide ribosomal RNA is filed under the name uncultured bacterium. RNAcentral describes it as "partial 16S ribosomal RNA". It matches the Rfam family "Bacterial small subunit ribosomal RNA", at positions 30 to 507 of the family's 1533-position model. The record is from RNAcentral.